Molecule: ribosomal RNA, 168 nt
Filed under: Actinomyces graevenitzii
Lineage: Bacteria; Bacillati; Actinomycetota; Actinomycetes; Actinomycetales; Actinomycetaceae
Description: partial 16S ribosomal RNA
Rfam family: Bacterial small subunit ribosomal RNA
Source: RNAcentral
CCCGGGUCUUGUACACACCGCCCGUCACACCAUGGGAGUCAGCAAUGCCCGAAGUCAGUGACCCAACCGUAAGGAGGGAGCUGCCGAAGGCAGGACUGAUGACUGGGGUGAAGUCGUAACAAGGUAGCCGUAUCGGAAGGUGCGGCUGGAUCACCUCCUUUCUAAGGA